This is a long non-coding RNA of Rosa rugosa (rugosa rose), 1329 nucleotides long. RefSeq lists it as uncharacterized. The transcript is spliced from 9 exons. NCBI's taxonomy places the organism in Eukaryota, Viridiplantae, Streptophyta, Magnoliopsida, Rosales, Rosaceae. The record is from RefSeq and is a predicted model, not a curated record.
ACCCCAAAACUGAAAUUUUCCCCUAGCGAGACUCCUUUAGUCUGAACUCACCCCAAACUCGACCUCCAUUCUGGACCCUAAGCUCACUCGAACUCGCCACCAUUCUAGAGCUCCUCAUUGCUUCCUUCAUCUACGUCCUCGGCUUCUUCCGCAUCGACUCCGUCCAGUCCGUCAUCUUACGCGCCUCCAACUACGAUGGAGACGACGUCCUCAUCAACUCCCGCUGCUGCCCUCCCCUGGCCAAACCCAAAUUCGAUUUCUUCUGCUUGAGGGAUUCGAGUUGAUUUUGCUUCCGCCAAAACCCUUUUCAACUCUUCACAGUUCGCCCUCCAAAGCGUUUCGCCGAGCUCGUUGAAGGACAAGGUUUAUAGGAUCUUCUGCAGGGAAAAGCGUAAGCUCGCCGGUAGAAAGGUACAUGUUGACAUGCAUAUUCUAGACAUUGCUGUGGAUUUGCCUUCUGUGACUGAAAUUUUCGGGUCAAAAUAUUCAACUACUCUUCUCUAUGCACUCGAUUAAGAUGUCAGAUCAACAGACCGGCCUCCGAUCACUUUAUCUAUUCUCUGUUGGUUCUUCUUGCUUGGUCUACUUGGGUGUAUAGCUCAGUUGAUUGGGUAUGCUGGGAUUAAUUACAGCUCUCCUACUCUUGGCACGGCUAUGCUCAACCUUAUUCCAGCUUUCGCUUUUGUACUUGCAGUUAUAUUCAGAGCUAGCAAAUGCUAUUCCAGAGCUAGCAAAUGCUAUUCCAGGGAUUGAUGAGGCCAUGAGCUUUACAGAGAUGCUAAAAUUGGUUCAAACAAUGUAUUAUUCUGUUAUUGUAUUUGACACUGCAAUGCGUAAUGAGUCAGAGAUGGUUCAAACAUCAUCACAACUUUGGACGAAAACAGCAAAAGUGAAGAAGCGAAACAGAAUAAGGCAGAUAAGAUCUACAACAUAAUAAGAGCUCCAAUUAAUAUUUUCAUCAAGGAGGACAUUUACACAUCGAAGGUUUAAGUACAUAUGCAAAAGAGGGAAGCCGUACACUAACUUGGGUACCCAAGGAGUUGCAUAAUGUGUGGGCGGUAAAGACUCGGAAAGGAUAUACCCAACAACGACUUGACUACUUACAGAUUUUGCUGUAGAUUCUGACUAUCUUGAUUUUAGUAAGGCUAGCUAGCUUUUGUUUAACCUUUUUGUAGAUGAAGUGAAUGCAGCAAUUAUGAACAAAAAUGCAAUAGUAAUUGCUAGCCUAGCCUUGUAGUAGGUUAAUUGGGGUUUAUUUUGCCUAUUUUGUGAACUGUCAAGGAUGAUGAUUUUGGAUAAAAUACUCAAUACUCAAAUCACUUUUGUCAA